Asticcacaulis sp. AC466 is the source of this 72-nucleotide transfer RNA. It matches the Rfam family "tRNA". From Rfam's summary of the family: Transfer RNA (tRNA) molecules are approximately 80 nucleotides in length. Their secondary structure includes four short double-helical elements and three loops (D, anti-codon, and T loops). The record is from Rfam. Lineage: Bacteria; Pseudomonadati; Pseudomonadota; Alphaproteobacteria; Caulobacterales; Caulobacteraceae.
GCCGUAUUAGCUCAGUGGUAGAGCGCAUCCUUGGUAAGGCUGAGGUCGGCAGUUCAAUCCUGCCAUACGGCA